UCUCCCAACUGACAGUGUUGUCAACAAACACUUCGGCGUGUACACGGCGCCAUGAAACUAAGCCCCACACCACUGGAGAGUCCAAGCGCUUUUGCUCCUCUGCGUCCAACGGCAGAAUGACAAUCCUUUCUCGACUUCGUGACGAUGUCUUUUCUCUCCUUCGCUGCGAUGGCGUCUUCUCCUUGACUGGGAGAAGAAGCAAGACAGCGUCACUUUCGAUUAAAUCCUCGGAAUGUGAAUGGCGUCAACACUGGAUCUCUUCCGCAACUGUGGACUCUAGGUUUAAUGCCUUCUAUCCAGCAAUUGGACUGGGAAUGAAGACAGGCAAUGCAUCCAGGUUCUGUGAUUUUCUCUCCGCUACUUCUAGAGUAGUCUAAUUUAAGCCAUCUGAUCCAAGUCGUUGACAUUGUUUUGCUACUCAAUUUGAUCCGACACACAAGUACAUAGCUCGCCGAAGUUGUGCACUCUUUCUUUCUUUCUUGCUUCGUUUCGGUAACACGAUGCAGCUCAUGCCAUUCCAAAUGGACAUGGCAACAAGUAAGUCUUCUUUGACGAUGGUAACGUUUGAUAGAGAACUUCGCUUUCGUAGAACGGGCAAUGAGCAAGAUGUGAAGUAGUGAGUUGGCACAGGCAUCUCGUCUAAUGGGAAGAAGGCACACAGUGCGAAGUCUAACAGACGAUCCCAUCCAUGCUUGUCUGCUCUUCAGAGAGGACCCUUCCAUAACGCUCCAAAUUUCACGUCGUCUUCAAUUCAGCUGCUUCGCGGAGUUCGUUUGCCAGGAUUCAGGUGGAGCUACAGGGACGGUAAAGCUUGUGAUGAUACUAUGACAGAGGACUUUGCUGGAGUGAGGCCCACAUUUGAUGCUGCUCAAUCUCGUGAUUCUCGCAAAGUGAGCUUUCAAAUCGUAUCAUUUUCAAAGUGAACUUGCAAUGGUACUGGAAUCAAAAAUCAUUUACUGUUGGAUUAUCCCAGGUCUUGUCGGGAACAGAUUCCCUUAUAUAAUCUUUGCUGUGGUAAGUGUAACUGGUAAUUCUUCAAGGCAACUCGUGCGCGUCAUGAAUAAUUCGACUUCUUCUCAUUAUUUUGGAUAACUCCUGAUGUUUUCAUCAUUCAAUUCCAGUUUACAGUCAUACCCUCCUUUGCAUGUUUUGUGCAGCAUUUUGCCUUGGAAAUUUCACAAGUGGUUUGCAUGGAUCAGGUCCUGUAACAAGUUCUGUUUAUCUGUGGAAGGGAAUUUUAUCACAUUCAUGUGGCUGUGUUAAAAUGUCAUGUGACACACAAGGAUAGUUUAAAUUGUAUGCGAUUAUUUUAUUUAUUAAUACUUUAUAAUCACUAGCUUGAAGCUAUCAAUCGCCUGACACUCCUGUUUUUAAAUGUUAGAUUUUGUGGCGGGUGAUAUAUCUGUUGUUACUUUGAUGGUUUUGUUGGAGCCCGACUUCGAUGUUCAUUCAUAAUGCAUCAUUUGAGCAAAUAAAAUGAUGUUUCAUAUUCUGUAACAACUGUCUUAUUGAAGAACUAUAUUAGAUCCCAUUGCGUGUAUGGUCUUGUGUUUUGAAAGCUAUUUGAAUGUUCAUUUCAUGCAAUGUGUUCCAGAGAGAGUAACAGCUUCUGGGUCCAUUGAAGACCUCAUUGCUCGUCGACAUCACAGCCACUGAAGCCACAACCUUGAUUGAUGUUUGAAUAUCAGUAUACUUAUAAUUAUCGGGUACCGGAUUGAUGGAGCUGUUUGCAAGCUGCAGUAGUCCUUGGAUCCGAUAAUCUGCCGUUGGAGUCUACCCUUUUCAACUACUGAUGAGGACAUUCAACGUCCUAAAUAUGAGGUUUCUGCACCAACAGACGAUGUAUUCCUAAACCACUUCCUCAAGAACCAGCUGAAAGAAUUCAUGCGAGGGAUGGAGGCAGCAAUCGCAAGUUUUCGGGAGCGUGUACAAGGUCCCGAAUUUUUGAUUUAAUCUCGAGCUGCCCAGAUUACUUUGUUUGCGUCUCCAAGAACUCAUAUCUUUUAUACGCUGUGACGAGGCAGAUGUCACAUAGCUAUUUGCCUCUCUGUACUUUCUGAUCAUUCUUAGGUUAAUAACUGCAGGAGGAAUAUAUUGAGGAAAAUGUAUGUGAAAUGGCCAAAAGUUCGCAUUGCUGAUAGAGCUUAUACCCACUAGUUCAGCGCUCAACCUACCUGACAUGUCUCCAAGCUUUAUUGGAGGGUACACACAAUCAAAGGCUGCACUAUCUGGAAUUGUAUCUUUGCAAUUUUUGUGAGCGUUGCAGGAACAAGAUGAAUCAGAAAGCAUUUGUUUGCUUUGGAGUGGUCGAUAUCAGCUCGAUGAAGGUAUUACCUCUUUGCGUUAAGCAGUCCUGAAAGCCGCCCUUCAAAAUCCCAUUCCCGCUGUUGCGAACACGACACAACGGCCUACAAGAACAGAACAUCAUUUUACUCUCAUGAGUUCCUCCCAUAUACAUGCAGAAAGUAACAGGGAAGUGGUCUUUGUGGUCCUGGAUACUAACCAACCAACUUAUAUUGUUAAUAGUGAUGUCCAUUCAUUAAUUCCCAGGGUAAAUUUAGGCAAAGAGAUGGAGGAGAAGAACAUAUUUCCAUCAGAUCUACAAAGAGCAACGCAGAGGAUAGUCACGGCGGGGGAUUGGUUGAACGAGAGCUACGACGUGGAGAACGGCACUAAGAUGAGUCCACAUGAUCUACAUGUUCCUCAUGUUCCUGAUCUAUGGUAAUCAUCACCACCCCUGUUUUUGGAUUUUCAUAUAUGAUUUCGAGUGAAGGCUGCACUACCUAAUGCUAACUGUUUGAAAGGAGAUGUUCCUAGUUUAUGACAAAAGCUUUCAGCUGAAGAGGUUACCUCUGCUUGCAAGAAUUGAACUUAACCCUGUUAGUCAAAAAAGAAGAAUUCGUAUUUUAAUUUAGAUGUGGUUAUGUAGGUAGAUGAUUCUUAUUCGUAUGAGCUUGUCAAUUUCAGCGUAAGGAUUCAAGGAGAAUACAGUUUCUAUAUUCCGAUCUUCGUUCGUAAUUUUUACUUCUUCACUGAAGAUCUCACUCUAUCUACUGGGUAUCUUCAAUGACAUGUGAAUAUUUUAAGUGGAUUUGAAGGGCCGCAGUGGAAUAGGUACCUGGUACUGGAUGAACAGAAAAUCCAAAGAAUUCCUGGCACCAGAACAUUUUAAUAAACCAUCAACCCUGUCUAAUUGCUCAUACACAAUUUUGUGUUUUUCUUUUCUUUAUAUUUAAAUACCUAACCCUGCCCAGCUUCUACCAAAAUUUACGGACUGCGUACAAUUGGUCGCCCGGCAGUGUACUGUUUACAAAAUUUGAGCAGCUACCCAACAUCUAUAUCUGUAGACACUCAUGGAUGACGGACGGAUGAAGUAAAAAGGUCAGAGUGCGAGCUGGCUACCCGUUCGGCGAAAUCGGAUUUGAAGACCAUGAACAAGAACAGAUAGAGCAUCGUAACUUGCGAUGAGACAGCCAUCCGGACAAUCAUUAAAGAGGUGCUCUUCCUUGACUCCCUCCAACUCCAAGUGUCAAAAAGCUUCUGCAGAUACUACUUGGGAGUUAGCUAAAAUAUCGAGUUUCUAGCCUCAUGAGGUUUCACCCAGAUCAGUUGCGACACCUUGUCCAUGUUCAUUCUCGUGUUUCCAUGUUAAUUUAGGUUGUGUGAAUCAUGAAAAUCUGUACUGUUUACGUGACUUAGUCAUGACUAAAGUCCAGAAUUAUUGGAAUGGUGUUCAUUGGAUCGCACUCCCUUAACAGACAUGUAAUAGAACACGAUGUCAACUUUAACACGAACUGUCAUCUCCCACAGCUGAAUUGCUGUGCAUUAAUCUUGGCCCAGACUUGAAUCGAUCUGCAAACUACCUUGAACUACAUGUGGAAUCUCAUGAAAGAAGCUUAUGGAAGGGAACAUUGCAAUUGAGAACUUUAGAUGGUAAAAAUAUGUUCAAGAUGGUGGGUAAGAGCAGAACCAUUUACCGCUGUUCCUGAACUCAUAAGAUGCACAUUUUAGCAAACAUUAGGUUGAUGGAUUUAGCUAAAAUAGCAAGUUUCACGGUCUCUUAGAUACUAAAGCAAUAAACUAGAAUGUAAGAUACCCCAAACUUGCCCUAAAGAAGCUACCUCUGAUUUUUAUGAUCAGAUUCUGGAAAAAAUGAGGGGGUGUUAUUACUUAUAUCUAAUCUUGUUUUAUUUUUUUCACUGUUUUUUCACAAAUUAUAAAAUAUAAUUUCAUCGUUACUAAUUCAAUGCACACGAGUUACACGUUGCUGCAGGGUUGUAGGCAUGUUUUGAAUCUAAUUUAGUUAUGAUAAUUCAAGUUUUUACUUAUUUUUUAAAGAAACAAUUCAAUUCUUCCUCUAUUGCAUCAA
This is a non-coding RNA of Physcomitrium patens, 4369 nucleotides long. Lineage: Eukaryota; Viridiplantae; Streptophyta; Bryopsida; Funariales; Funariaceae. The record is from RefSeq and is a predicted model, not a curated record.